GUGCCAGCCGCCGCGGUAAUACAGAGGGUGCAAGCGUUGUUCGGAAUUACUGGGCGUAAAGCGCGUGUAGGCGGUUUGGCAAGUCAGACGUGAAAUCCCUUGGCUUAACCAAGGAACUGCGUUUGAAACUACUAGACUAGAGUAUCGGAGGGGGUGGCGGAAUUCCCGGUGUAGAGGUGAAAUUCGUAGAUAUCGGGAGGAACACCUGUGGCGAAGGCGGCCACCUGGAAGAUUACUGACGCUGAGACGCGAAAGCGUGGGGAGCAAACAGGAUUAGAUACCCUUGUAGUCC
RNAcentral lists this ribosomal RNA (292 nucleotides) under uncultured bacterium. Its description in RNAcentral is "partial 16S ribosomal RNA". It matches the Rfam family "Bacterial small subunit ribosomal RNA", at positions 505 to 796 of the family's 1533-position model. The record is from RNAcentral.